GACGUAGGGCGCGAGCGUUGUCCGGAUUUAUUGGGCGUAAAGAGCUCGUAGGCGGCUUGUCGCGUCGUCCGUGAAAACUUGGGGCUCAACCCCAAGCUUGCGGUCGAUACGGGCAGGCUCGAGUUCGGUAGGGGAGACUGGAAUUCCUGGUGUAGCGGUGAAAUGCGCAGAUAUCAGGAGGAACACCGGUGGCGAAGGCGGGUCUCUGGGACGGUACUGACGCUGAGACGCGAAAGCGUGGGGAGCGAACAGG
This 253-nucleotide ribosomal RNA is filed under the name uncultured bacterium. RNAcentral's name for it is "partial 16S ribosomal RNA". It matches the Rfam family "Bacterial small subunit ribosomal RNA", at positions 524 to 776 of the family's 1533-position model. The record is from RNAcentral.